This is a long non-coding RNA of Vespa velutina, 1907 nucleotides long. RefSeq lists it as uncharacterized. NCBI's taxonomy places the organism in Eukaryota, Metazoa, Arthropoda, Insecta, Hymenoptera, Vespidae. The transcript is spliced from 3 exons. The record is from RefSeq and is a predicted model, not a curated record.
AUGUCGCUUAAGUCAGUUGUUUAUUUUUUCUGCUAAUCAAAAUAGAAAGGCUUAAACAGAAUGAAGAAAAAAAAUCUAAAAGGGAUCAAUGUAUUAUCACAUUAUUGUAAAUGUUUUAAGGACUCAAGCAAAUAUUAAUAAUCAUAAAUUUACCCAGAAGGCAGGACAAUGCUGAAAUCAAAACCUUUUUUCAUGAAAUGAAAAAUGGCUUCAAAAAAGAAAUCUCCUGAAUCUAAGAGAGAGUUAUUGGAAUUUAAAAAGAUAAAUAAGAGAAUUUGUUAUAUCAAUUGCUUAGUAAGAAGUGUUAUGUCAUUGAUUUAUUUUUAAAAUAUUUUUUAAGUGAGAUGUUCUAUUUCUACAGCUACUAUUGGAAUAAAUAGCGACAAAUCUAUGAAAGUAUUUUUUAAAGAUAUUUUUAUCAAUUUUUAAAAGCUAUAAUGAGUGUUAUGAUCAAAAAAUAUAAAAGAAAUAGAACAAGUAUUCAUGAGUUGCCAACUAAUUCAAAUAUCUAUGCCGAUAUUAAAUCUAAAAUGUAAAAACACUUUUAGAUUUGCUUUCAUCACUUUUACUCGACCCAAUCAUCUUAUAUUAAUAGUAUUGGUACAGAAAGUUUUGUCUUCAUUGUCAGAAUUAAUUAAGAUUUACUGCGAUACUUUCUACGUCUAUUGACAAGGUCACCAUAAAUGCGGUAAAGUGGUACGACAAUGAGGCCGUUCAUUCGAUGAACACGUUUCGCGAAGUUGAACCAGUAGACAUAGUGAAAAGGUGGGACAAAAAAAUAAACAGAAUAAUCAAUGUACAACGAUCAAAUAUAGUGAAAACAUACAACCAACACAUGGGUGAGGUAGAUUUGGUUGAUUCAUUGAUAGCGUUGUAUCGAAUUUAAGAAUAUAUAAGAAUCAAAAUUCGAUCAAAGAAGUGCUACCACCGCAUUAUGUUUCACCUCUUAGAUUUGAUGGUGGUCAAUGCUUGGCUCUUAUAUAAGCGAGAUUGAUCAUUGUAUUCUGUAAGCCCCGGCCGUCAGUAUAGUUUAUUGAAAUUUAAAACUGACAUUGCAUCUUGUUUAUGUCAGGAACACAAAGGAACCCAAUAGAAAAGGGAACAUCCUACUUCAAAUGAGAUAUAUAAACAAUUGCAAAAUAAAAAAAGAAAAGAGACCAAAUACAACGCUGUAGAAACGUGCGAAAAGAUGACUAAAACAUUGGUCAAUUUCUUCGGAUAACAGAAGACGUUGCAGGAUGUAAAGCAGUUCCGAAAAUUAAAUGUUACAAAUGUAAUAUUCAUUUAUGUUUAAUGCCAAGUGCAAACUGUUUUGUAAAAUUCCACGCUUAAGUUUUCACACACAAAAGUGGGAACAUUAUAGGCCGUUGUAACCUGAAAGUCACAUAGUGAAUAUACUGCAAUGAAAUUAUUUGAACAGAAAUUUUUUUUUUCAUUUUUAUAUGUAGGUUUAUGAUUGCUGAUUUUUCCUUCCCCCAAUUUUUUUGGAUUUAAAACAAUAGUUCGGUCCAUAGAGGAUUAAUUCACUGAGAUUUUUUUACUUUAUAUCGAGUUAAUAGAAUGGACUUUUUUUUUGUAAUAUAUAUUGUUCUGAUUUGUUUUUCGACUCGCUAUUAUUUUUAUAACCGAUUACUUAUAAUAAAUUCCUUAUCUUAAUGUAAUUAUAUCGAUUCAAUUCGUCAUUUUUAUAAAUAUCUAACAAUUGUAUAUAAGUUUUGAUAUUAUAGUAUUUUAUAUAAUCUUUCUUUUUCUGCCAUUUGAUCAUAUAUAUAUUUUCCAUUAUUAGUAUUUUAGACUUAUAAUAAAUUGUUCAAUAUAUUAAUUUCUAUAUUCAAGUCAAAGUAUUGGAAUCGAAUAAAUGUUUAAUGAUAAACAAUAAAUAAUAAUAAAAGUGUUGUAUCUUUGUA